Molecule: long non-coding RNA, 448 nt
Organism: Uranotaenia lowii
Lineage: Eukaryota; Metazoa; Arthropoda; Insecta; Diptera; Culicidae
Exons: 3
Source: RefSeq, a predicted model, not a curated record
CUCAAAAUUCCAAGUUCUGAGUGUGCCUUCAUCGUGGGUGAAAAACAACAUAAUGGAAUGGCCAAAAAUUUCCAAUAGCGCAAUCGAGAACCUUAGGGUGAGCGGAUCGCCAUAUAAUGGAGCAUCGAAAAAAAUACCUGUUAUCGUCAGUGGUAGAUUCCGUCUAAAUGUGGUACAAAACCUAAAACUACAACUGCUGUAACAUCAGCCGCAAAGACCGAGGGAGCAGUACACCGUAAACCACUUGUAAAAACAACGCUGAAAAAAUCAGCAGUUUCUACUGCUUGUGAGAAUUUUGAAUAUUACGAAUCGAGUACUUCAUCUGACCUUCCUGUUCAAGAUUUGUUUGCCACAUCUGACGUCUGCCCAGAGACCAUGGGCGCUCCACAAUAUGUUCUCAUGGAUAGCGUGCCUGACAACGCCAUGCAGACAGUCAUAACGCAAUCAG